UGCUCCCAGUAUGGCUCCCAGUCCAUCCCAGUAUGGCCCAGUAUGGCUCCCAGUGGCUCCCAGUGCCUCCCAGUCCAUCCCAGUAUGGCCCAGUAUGCCUCCCAGUUGCUCCCAGUUGCUCCCAGUAUGGCCCANACUUUCACUUUCACUUUCUCAUUCGCCUUCACUUCCUCAUUCCCUUCUAUUUCCACUUCCCUCGCUUUCAUGUCCGCUUCCGCUCCCACUUUUACUUUCACUUUCACACUUUCACUUCCUCUACAUUCACGCCCACUUCCACUUCUGCUCCCAUUCCCAUUUUUACUUUCACUUUCACUUUCUCACUCACCUUCACUUCCUCAUUCACUUCUACUUCCACUUCCCUUACUUCCAUCUCUGCUUCCGCUCCCACUUUUACUUUCACUUUCACACUUUCAGUUUCACUUCCUCUACAUUCACGCCCACUUCCGCUCUCAUUCCCAUUUUUACUUUCACUUUCACUUUCUCACUCACCUUCCUCAUUCACUUCUACUUCCACUUCCCUCACUUUCAUGCCCGCUUCCGCUCCCACUUUUACUUUCACUUUCUCACUUUCACUUCCUCUACAUUCACGCCCACUUCCACUUCUGCUCCCAUUCCCAUUUUUACUUUCACUUUCACUUUCUCAUUCGCCUUCACUUCCUCAUUCCCUUCUAUUUCCACUUCCCUCACUCUCAGGUCCGCUUCCGCUCCCACUUUUACUUUCACUUUCACACUUCCAGUUUCACUUCCUGUACAUUCACGCCCACUUCCGCUCUCAUUCCCAUUUUUACUUUCGCUUUCACUUUCUCAUUCGCCUUCACUUCCUCGUUCCCUUCUAUUUCCACUUCCCUCACUUUCAGGUCCGCUUCCGCUCCCACUUUUACUUUCACUUUCUCACUUUCACUUCCUCUACAUUCACGCCCACUUCCGCUUCCGCUCCCAUUCCCAUUUUUAUUUUCACUUUCACUUUCUCACUCGCCUUCAUUUCCUCAUUCACUUCUACUUCCCUUACUUUCAGCUCCGCUUCUGCUCCCACUUUCACUUUCACUUUCUCACUUUCACUUUUCCUCCAUUCACGUCCACGCCCGCUUCCGCUCCCAUUCCCAUUUUUACUUUCACUUUCACUUUCUCACUCACCUUCCUCAUUCACUUCUACUUCCACUUCCCUUACUUCCAUCUCCGCUUCCGCUCCCACUUUUACUUUCACUUUCUCACUUUCACUUUCACUUUCCCCACAUUCACACCCACUUCCGCUUUCAAUCCCAUUUUUACUUUCACUUUCACUUUCUCGCUCACCUUCACUUCCUCGUUCACUUCUAUUUCCACUUCCUUAGUUUCCCCUCCGCUUCCGCUCCACUUUUACUUUCACUUUCACUUUCUCACUUUCAGUUUCACUUCCCCUACAUUCACGCUCACUUCUGCUCCCAUUCCCAUUUUUACUUUCACUUUCGCUUUCUCACUCACCUUCACUUCCUCCCUCACUUCUCCUUCCCUCACUCUCNGUAGGGAGCCCCAGGAAGGUGCUAGGGGGACACAACCACCGCCCCUCGCACCUUCCAGGACCCAACCUCCAUAUAAAACAUAA
Numida meleagris (helmeted guineafowl) is the source of this 1582-nucleotide long non-coding RNA. The record is from Ensembl. Lineage: Eukaryota; Metazoa; Chordata; Aves; Galliformes; Numididae.